RNAcentral lists this long non-coding RNA (408 nucleotides) under Trifolium pratense (red clover). Its description in RNAcentral is "long non-coding RNA (TPRA_LNC003237)". Lineage: Eukaryota; Viridiplantae; Streptophyta; Magnoliopsida; Fabales; Fabaceae. The record is from RNAcentral.
AAAGUUACAAAACCAAAACAAGGAAACAAAUUAAAUAAAAACUAAUAAUAAGGAACAAGGAAACAAAUAAUAAAACUAAUAAACUAAUGCACCUGGAGUUUAAUUUUCAAACUCUAACAUUAAAAAAAAAUAAAAAAAUAAAAAAAAGGCAUGGCAGGCAACAUGACCAUUAAAAAAAAAUGACGACCAUUAAAAAACUUGACAAAAUAAUGUACAGUACUAUCAUACUAUGAUAAGAAAAAUAAACUAAAAUAUAAUGAAAUUGAAAAAGUGGUGUUGGGCAGAUUCGAAGUGUGGACUAUGAAAAUAAGUAGCUGCUUGGUAAAAUAAGUUGAUAUUUUUGACUUUUUUUCAUGCUCCUCAUACAUUGUUUUUCUUCACAAAAAUAAAGUCCUUAUUUUUUCUAGU